AACAGGAUUAGAUACCCUGGUAGUCCACGCCCUAAACGAUGUCAACUAGCUGUUGGGGGUUUGAAUCCUUGGUAGCGUAGCUAACGCGAGAAGUUGACCGCCUGGGGAGUACGGCCGCAAGGUUAAAACUCAAAGGAAUUGACGGGGACCCGCACAAGCGGUGGAUGAUGUGGAUUAAUUCGAUGCAACGCGAAAAACCUUACCUACCCUUGACAUGUCCGGAACCCUGGUGAGAGCUGGGGGUGCCCGAAAGGGAAUCGGAACACAGGUGCUGCGUGGCUGUCGUCAGCUCGUGUCGUGAGAUGUUGGGUUAAGUCCCGCAACGAGCGCAACCCUUGUCAUUAAUUGCCAUCAUUUGGUUGGGCACUUUAAUGAGACUGCCGGUGACAAACCGGAGGAAGGUGGGGAUGACGUCAAGUCCUCAUGGCCCUUAUGGGUAGGGCUUCACACGUCAUACAAUGGUCGGUACAGAGGGUUGCCAAGCCGCGAGGUGGAGCUAAUCCCAGAAAACCGAUCGUAGUCCGGAUCGCAGUCUGCAACUCGACUGCGUGAAGUCGGAAUCGCUAGUAAUCGCGAAUCAGAAUGUCGCGGUGAAUACGUUCCCGGGCCUUGUACACACCGCCCGUCACACCAUGGGAGUGGGUUGCACCAGAAGUAGCUAGUCUAACCUUCGGGGGGACGGUUACCACGGUGUGAUUCAUGACUGGGGUGAAGUCGUAACAAGGUAACC
This 730-nucleotide ribosomal RNA is filed under the name uncultured bacterium. RNAcentral describes it as "bacterial SSU rRNA". It matches the Rfam family "Bacterial small subunit ribosomal RNA", at positions 771 to 1501 of the family's 1533-position model. The record is from RNAcentral.